This 372-nucleotide ribosomal RNA is filed under the name uncultured organism. RNAcentral describes it as "partial 16S ribosomal RNA". It matches the Rfam family "Bacterial small subunit ribosomal RNA", at positions 527 to 896 of the family's 1533-position model. The record is from RNAcentral.
GGAGGGUGCAAGCGUUAAUCGGAAUAACUGGGCGUAAAGGGCGUGUAGGUGGAUGUUCAAGUCAGAGGUGAAAGCCCUGGGCUCAACCUGGGAACUGCCUCUGAAACUGUGUAUCUAGAGUAUGGGAGAGGGAAGUGGAAUUUCCGGUGUAGCGGUGAAAUGCGUAGAUAUCGGAAGGAACACCAGUGGCGAAGGCGACUUCCUGGCCUAAUACUGACACUGAGACGCGAAAGCGUGGGUAGCGAACAGGGAUUGGAUACCCUGGUAGUCCACGCUGUAAACGAUGAGAACUAGACGUUGGGAAGCCACGAGUUUCUUAGUGUCGCAGCUAACGCGUUAAGUUCUCCGCCUGGGGAUACGGCCGCAAGGCUA